GCUAGUAAUCGCGGAUCAGAAUGCCGCGGUGAAUGCGUUCCCGGGUCUUGUACACACCGCCCGUCACACCAUGGAAGUUGGGGGCGCCCGAAGUUGCCUAAGAAAUAAGGUACCUAAGGCGAAACCAAUGACUGGGGGUGAAGUCGUAACAAGGUAGC
Molecule: ribosomal RNA, 158 nt
Filed under: uncultured bacterium
Lineage: Bacteria
Description: partial 16S ribosomal RNA
Rfam family: Bacterial small subunit ribosomal RNA
Source: RNAcentral